AUACGGAGGGUGCAAGCGUUGUUCGGAAUCACUGGGCGUAAAGGGCGCGCAGGCGGUUUGGUAAGUCAGAUGUGAAAGCCCACGGCUCAACCGUGGAAGUGCGUUUGAAACUGUCAGACUUGAGUACUGGAGGGGAAAGUGGAAUUCCCGGUGUAGAGGUGAAAUUCGUAGAUAUCGGGAGGAAUACCGGUGGCGAAGGCGACUUUCUGGCUAGAUACUGACGCUGAGGCGCGAAAGCGUGGGGAGCAAACAGAAUUAGAAACCCUUGUAGUCC
Molecule: ribosomal RNA, 274 nt
Filed under: uncultured bacterium
Lineage: Bacteria
Description: partial 16S ribosomal RNA
Rfam family: Bacterial small subunit ribosomal RNA
Source: RNAcentral